Molecule: long non-coding RNA, 230 nt
Filed under: Elaeis guineensis (African oil palm)
Lineage: Eukaryota; Viridiplantae; Streptophyta; Magnoliopsida; Arecales; Arecaceae
Description: long non-coding RNA (EGUI_LNC028408)
Source: RNAcentral
GCAACAGUGAUGAGGGGGUAGGGGCAUUUUCCUUGAAUGAGAAAUAAAUUCCUCAUCCAUCCUUCUUUUCUUUUUUUUUUGGACGGUGCUCGAGGCACCAUUUUCUUGUACAUAUUUUUAAUGAAAGACUAAGUUAUUUCCUCUCAUGUGUCAUUUGUGCAUGUCAUUACUGAUUGGUUGUUUCUUAUCAGGCCAAUCAAAGGCCAUCUUAUUUUGAUUUAAAGCUGAUC